Molecule: long non-coding RNA, 1150 nt
Organism: Anopheles darlingi
Lineage: Eukaryota; Metazoa; Arthropoda; Insecta; Diptera; Culicidae
Exons: 2
Source: RefSeq, a predicted model, not a curated record
UCGUCCACACGGAUGGAUGGAUUUUCUUUCGCUGGAAAACGGGAGAUUUUCCUUUCCAUCGACGGUCGAGUGGUUUGUGACUUGGCUACUAGCUUUUCCGAUUUUCCGCUUUCCGCGCGAGUUUUCCUGCAGUUUUCCGGCUGAUAAAGUGAAAAGUUCGACGAAAAUCUGCACUUGGCUUCUGGCACCGAUUUCUGCCAUCGAGGACACCGAAGGACGCUUUCUUCGUUACAAGAAAAAGAACGUUGUUGUUAUUGUGGUGCCAGCGCCAAUGACGAAAAUAAUAAUCAAUGCUCAAGGAUUUGCCCAGGAUUUUCCAAAUGAAAUGCAAUUGAAGUGUUUGAUCAUUGCAGUGCCGCCUUUGUAAUUUUCCCAGUGCCUUAGAGCACGUUAAGGAAAGAUUUGUCGUUAGUUAUCAUCUUGGAAAGUCUUUGCGUUACUUCCAUUCCAUCCGAGGCAUAACGCAGCUCCACAAUUCCCCAAAAGUAUUUUCAAUGUGCACUGAAAAAUAAUUAAUUGUAAAAUAAUCAUUUUGCACUGAAACACGUACAAGUUUUCCUUGCCGGACAUUUUUCGAAGUAGCAGUAAAGUGAUUCAAUAAAAUACCGACUGAUACGUUGUAAUAGUUUGUUUCAAUCAUAAGGUUUGGGGAUGUAAAUUUUUAAUUUGUUUCAUGGGCGAAUAACCGGAACAGUUAGGUUGUGUAAAAUGAUAGUUGAUCGAAUUCGGUUGUGAAUAUUGCUUUUCUGGAAAUUUUCAACCUUCCUUGAGGCAAUCUGAAUCUACGAGCCGGCCCAAAUAUUUUUCGCCAAAACCACCCUGAGUAUAUAACCGCCCAAAGUACAUAACACCCACGUCACACAUACAAACUAAUAAUUUGCUGUGCAGAUGUGUGCGUAACGGCGCCUGCUCCAACAAGUUUUCCAGAGCUCGAAGGCCUUCCACUGAUCAUCACUACCCAACAAGAGGCCGUGUCCUGGACAAUUUUUCACCAAAACGUUGUCAAACGUCACCGGGAAAACAUCUCAUAGGCCCUUUAUGGCGUCGCAGUAGUGCUCUGUAAAAUCAACGUGCUGAUCAGCUUUUUUUGUAGUCAGCCAUCAAAUAAAAACAACAAAGUCUUUGAAUAAAGUGUUGGCCAAGCAUUACA